RNAcentral lists this transfer RNA (72 nucleotides) under Trichophyton verrucosum HKI 0517. RNAcentral's name for it is "tRNA-Thr (CGT) (tRNA-Thr-CGT-1-1)". It matches the Rfam family "tRNA". From Rfam's summary of the family: Transfer RNA (tRNA) molecules are approximately 80 nucleotides in length. Their secondary structure includes four short double-helical elements and three loops (D, anti-codon, and T loops). The record is from RNAcentral. Lineage: Eukaryota; Fungi; Ascomycota; Eurotiomycetes; Onygenales; Arthrodermataceae.
GCCCGCAUAGCUCAGUGGUAGAGCGCAUCACUCGUAAUGAUGAGGCCCUCGGUUCGAUCCCGAGUACGGGCU